Molecule: ribosomal RNA, 117 nt
Filed under: Nitrospinota bacterium
Lineage: Bacteria; Pseudomonadati; Nitrospinota
Source: RNAcentral
GCCGGUGGCUGUAGCGAAGAGGUUCCACCCGAUCCCAUUCCGAACUCGGAAGUUAAGCUCUUCAGCGCCAAUGGUACUGCACGGGUAACUGUGUGGGAGAGUAGGUCGUUGCCGGCA